GAUGAACGCUGGCGGCGUGCCUAAUACAUGCAAGUCGAGCGAACGGACGAGAAGCUUGCUUCUCUGAUGUUAGCGGCGGACGGGUGAGUAACACGUGGAUAACCUACCUAUAAGACUGGGAUAACUUCGGGAAACCGGAGCUAAUACCGGAUAAUAUUUUGAACCGCAUGGUUCAAAAGUGAAAGACGGUCUUGCUGUCACUUAUAGAUGGAUCCACGCUGCAUUAGCUAGUUGGUAAGGUAACGGCUUACCAAGGCAACGAUGCAUAGCCGACCUGAGAGGGUGAUGGGCCACACUGGAACGGAGACACGGUCCAGACUCCUACGGGGGGCAGCAGUAGGGAAUUUUCCGCAAUGGGCGAAAGCCUGACGGAGCAACGCCGCGUGGGUGAUGAAGGUCUUCGGAUCGUAAAACUCUGUUAUGAGGGAAAAACAUAUGUGUAAGUAACUGUGCACAUCUUGACGGUACCUAAUCAGAAAGCCACGGCUAACUACGU
RNAcentral lists this ribosomal RNA (496 nucleotides) under uncultured bacterium. RNAcentral describes it as "partial 16S ribosomal RNA". It matches the Rfam family "Bacterial small subunit ribosomal RNA", at positions 28 to 506 of the family's 1533-position model. The record is from RNAcentral.